RNAcentral lists this long non-coding RNA (1382 nucleotides) under Mytilus galloprovincialis (Mediterranean mussel). The record is from RNAcentral. Lineage: Eukaryota; Metazoa; Mollusca; Bivalvia; Mytilida; Mytilidae.
AAACAAUAAAUGUUUCAAUGAUUUUAUUGAAUUUUAACUCCUCCCUCACAAGAAAAAAAAUAUAAAUAAAAAAAAUAAAAAUAAAUAGCUAAGAUAAGCUUUAAAACACACUGAAAGUAAUUAAGAAAAAGAAAAGCAAAAAAAACCAAAAAAAACGAAAAUGGCCCUUAUAGCCCCUAGUCCUUUAUGAAUAUAUAAAUAAAUAUCAGGAAAUAACAAUGUAAAGAGGUAAAUAGAAAAAAGAAAUGAGAACCACUUGCAUUCACUUUCACUUUCUCUCAGUCUCUCAUACACACAUACAAUUCUUACUUACAUACACACAUACAUUACUUAAUUAUGUACAUAAUUAUUGUUCACAAUUACAUCAAAGAAUAACCAAAAUCUAAUCAAAAAAUUUGCUCACAGAUUAAUAUCGUACUCUAUGGUGGAAAUAUAUAUUGUAAUGGGGUCCAAAAUUUUUCAUAUACAUCAACAUUAUUAUUUUUCUUUGCAAUAUAAUAUUCAUAUGACUGAUAUUGUUUUAUUCUAUUUUUAAAACCAAAAUAUUAGGAGUAAGUUCCUUAAAACUUACAUUUAUAAAUAUAAUUUUUUGCUACUAUAAAUAAAAGAUUCAUGAAUAAGCUUUCUGAAUAGAAACCAAGGAAUAUCUGCUUUUUACUGAUGGCAAAAUCCCUGCUAUACAAUCUUAUUUGCUGUAAUAAUGAUGACCAAAAUUGAUAUGUUAUUGGACAAUCAUAGAAAAAAUGUACAAUAGUUUCGUCAUCAAGUUUACAAAAAGUACAUGAACUAGAAUCUUUCUUCUUUAUCUUGUACAAAAAAGAGUUUGUAGGAAUUAUUUGGUGCAGUAUUUUGUAUUGGAAGCUUUUUAAGUAGGUAUCUUUGCAAGACUUCCUUAGUAGCAUAAAGUAUGUUUGCCAAUUUUCAAUUUCUGAGUCUAACAACUGCUCCCAUUUCUGAAAUUUUUCAAGGGGAGGUUGAAAUAUAUGAUCGAUAAGACUCUUAUACACAAAUUUUGGUUUCUUAUUCUUAAUAAUCUGAGUACAAAAAGCAUCAGAGAUUUUGACAUUUUCAAUCUGUUGAGAAUCACAAUAUUCUUUUAUGUGAUCUUUAAUAAAUUUUGGAAUAUUGGAGAUUAGACUGUAAUAUUUCAGAAAAUUAUUUGUAAGAAUCUUAUGUCUAAUCUUUUCAAAUGUAAAGAAUUCUUUGUUUUGAUCAUUUACAAGGUCUUUUAUAUACUGUACACCAAAGUCCUUCCAUUGCAUAUAAAUAGUGUAAUCUGAAAGUGGCACAAAAUUUAAAAUAUCUAGCGAUAAUAUAUCAUUUGUACAAGCCUUAGUAUCAGGCUUUGCAGUAUGUAAGCAAAAUAAAACAUCUUUCCAAAA